Molecule: unclassified non-coding RNA, 665 nt
Filed under: Ganoderma resinaceum
Lineage: Eukaryota; Fungi; Basidiomycota; Agaricomycetes; Polyporales; Polyporaceae
Description: sequence contains 18S rRNA gene, ITS1, 5.8S rRNA gene, ITS2, 28S rRNA gene
Rfam family: 5.8S ribosomal RNA (bases 251-404)
Source: RNAcentral
AGUCGUAACAAGGUUUCCGUAGGUGAACCUGCGGAAGGAUCAUUAUCGAGUUUUGACUGGGUUGUAGCUGGCCUUCCGAGGCAUGUGCACACCCUGCUCAUCCACUCUACACCUGUGCACUUACUGUGGGUUCCAGACGUUGUGAAGCGGGCUCUUUACGGAGCUUGUAAAGCGGCGUGCCUGUGCCUGCGUUUAUCACAAACUCUAUAAAGUAUUAGAAUGUGUAUUGCGAUGUAACGCAUCUAUAUACAACUUUCAGCAACGGAUCUCUUGGCUCUCGCAUCGAUGAAGAACGCAGCGAAAUGCGAUAAGUAAUGUGAAUUGCAGAAUUCAGUGAAUCAUCGAAUCUUUGAACGCACCUUGCGCUCCUUGGUAUUCCGAGGAGCAUGCCUGUUUGAGUGUCAUGAAAUCUUCAACUUACAGACCUUUGCGGGUUUGUAGGCUUGGACUUUGGAGGCUUGUCGGCCGUGUUUUGGUCGGCUCCUCUUAAAUGUAUUAGCUUGAUUCCUUGCGGAUCGGCUCUCGGUGUGAUAAUGUCUACGCCGCGACCGUGAAGCAUUUUGGCGAGCUUCUAACCGUCUCGUUUGUGAGACAGCUUUAUGACCUCUGACCUCAAAUCAGGUAGGACUACCCGCUGAACUUAAGCAUAUCAAUAAGCGGAGGAA